Long non-coding RNA from Solenopsis invicta (red fire ant), 738 nucleotides. RefSeq lists it as uncharacterized. The transcript is spliced from 2 exons. The record is from RefSeq and is a predicted model, not a curated record. NCBI's taxonomy places the organism in Eukaryota, Metazoa, Arthropoda, Insecta, Hymenoptera, Formicidae.
ACUACCUAUGCUAAAGUAUGUCGCUAAACAGAACGCCAGAAUUGCCAUAGGAAAGUACACAUUAAAUCCAUCGGAUAUUAUGGAAAUAACAUCCAUGUGACCCAUAACCUGACAAAAAAGGAAACAAUAAAAAAAAACAAUAGAUAUGAGUUUUGAUGAUGUGGGAAUCCAUAUGAAUAAGUCCUAGGAAAUUGAGACACAUGGGCGGAGUUAAGCGACACAGCAUCAUACCGCUGAAUAUCAGACUAUACUCGUUCGUUUGAUGAUGAGGUGCCAAAUAAUAGAGAUUUAAUACUCGUAUCUUCAAGACGGUUGAAUAAGCGCAAUAGCAAAGGUAUGCGAUGAUCAAUGUGGACAGUAUCUGAAAACCGAGCAUAGACAUGAUAAAUAAAUGAUAAAUAUAUAUUGUGCGAAAUAACAUCAAUCUUUACCUCUAUUGUACAAUAAUCAUAAUUUCUUUUUGCUAAAUUCAGAAAUUGAGCGAAUAAAGACAAGACAGGAGACUUGUUGAAGAACGUUACUUCUGACCAUACCACAGCCACUGAUAAGCAGCCGGCGCAAAUAGCAGCUACUUUUAAAACAUAAUUCUUCACGAUACAUUUCCAGUACCAUUCUGAAAUUUAUAAGUUAUAAAAUUACAAAAUCAAAAAAGAGUUAUAAAAAUUAAAUGAUUGAGCGAAUGUUACAAGAUGAUAUAACACAUCAGAAUAAAAUGCGAAACAUGACGUUACUUACCGA